RNAcentral lists this ribosomal RNA (253 nucleotides) under uncultured bacterium. RNAcentral describes it as "partial 16S ribosomal RNA". It matches the Rfam family "Bacterial small subunit ribosomal RNA", at positions 524 to 776 of the family's 1533-position model. The record is from RNAcentral.
UACGUAGGGUGCGAGCGUUGUCCGGAAUUAUUGGGCGUAAAGAGCUCGUAGGCGGCUUGUCACGUCGGUUGUGAAAGCCCGGGGCUUAACCCCGGGUCUGCAGUCGAUACGGGCAGGCUAGAGUGUGGUAGGGGAGAUCGGAAUUCCUGGUGUAGCGGUGAAAUGCGCAGAUAUCAGGAGGAACACCGGUGGCGAAGGCGGAUCUCUGGGCCAUUACUGACGCUGAGGAGCGAAAGCGUGGGGAGCGAACAGG